This 429-nucleotide ribosomal RNA is filed under the name uncultured archaeon. RNAcentral describes it as "bacterial SSU rRNA". It matches the Rfam family "Archaeal small subunit ribosomal RNA", at positions 474 to 903 of the family's 1478-position model. The record is from RNAcentral.
UACCAGCUCUCCGAGUGGUAGGGAUGAUUAUUGGGCUUAAAGCGUCCGUAGCCGGCUUAGCAAGUUUCCUGUUAAACUCAGCGACUCAAUCGUUGGAUCGCGGGAAAUACUACUAGGCUAGGAGGCGGGAGAGGUCAACGGUACUUCUGGGGUAGGGGUGAAAUCCUAUAAUCCCGGGAGGACCACCAGUGGCGAAGGCUGUUGACUAGAGCGCGCUCGACGGUGAGGGACGAAAGCUGGGGGAGCGAACCGGAUUAGAUACCCGGGUAGUCCCAGCUGUAAACGAUGCGAGCUAGGUGUUGGGAUGGCUACGGGCCAUUUCAGUGCCGCAGGGAAGCCAUUAAGCUCGCCGCCUGGGGAGUACGGCCGCAAGGCUGAAACUUAAAGGAAUUGGCGGGGGAGCACCACAAGGCGUGAAGCUUGCGGUUC